Triplophysa rosa is the source of this 623-nucleotide long non-coding RNA. RefSeq lists it as uncharacterized. NCBI's taxonomy places the organism in Eukaryota, Metazoa, Chordata, Actinopteri, Cypriniformes, Nemacheilidae. The record is from RefSeq and is a predicted model, not a curated record. The transcript is spliced from 4 exons.
AGCAGGUGAAGGCAGAAUAAUGUCGGAGAUUGGAUAAUUCCCAUUUAUGAUAUCAUGAUUCCGAGUUGGUUGUGUUCAGGUGCUUUUUUGUCGGAAAGAAUGGAGGACGCCUGGUUCAUGUCUUGGGAAAAUGUUAUAUGGUAAUAGUUUUAUCAACCGUACAUCCUACUGUACAGUUUUACUAGUCAGUUUGAUGACUAUUCUGGAAUAGUGGUGAAAUACAUGCUAUUUUCGCAGUAAAGGGGAACCGAAUAAGUAAAGGUUUUUGCAAGCGAUUUGGUGCCAGGCGUCGCUCAUUUUCAGACCGAAGAUGACGGGAGGGGAUGUAGACCUGGAGCACUGGGUUAAGGUUUCUUUGGUCAAAUGUUCAUACAGGAAAAAUGAGAUCCUGGAAGUGACGGUAUAAAAGACAGCUCUACGUUCCUCUCAGCUCUACAUCACUGUAAAGGUUUCAGCUCAAUUCAGCAGAAUGAUGAAGGUUCUUCUACUGGCACUGGUGUUGACUGAUGACCAGGUCGAGGAAGCUGUUACGGUAAUCUUUGGGUCAUGUGGAGAGAGGUGGUUGCCUUUGUGCUGAAGAUAAACACAUCUUUGCGGUCACAACUACAUCUCAGUAAGGAUGC